This 496-nucleotide ribosomal RNA is filed under the name uncultured bacterium. RNAcentral's name for it is "partial 16S ribosomal RNA". It matches the Rfam family "Bacterial small subunit ribosomal RNA", at positions 29 to 507 of the family's 1533-position model. The record is from RNAcentral.
ACGAACGCUGGCGGCGUGCCUAAUACAUGCAAGUUGAGCGCUGAAGAUUGGUGCUUGCACCAAUUUGAAGAGCAGCGAACGGGUGAGUAACGCGUGGGGAAUCUGCCUUUGAGCGGGGGACAACAUUUGGAAACGAAUGCUAAUACCGCAUAACAACUUUAAACAUAAGUUUUAAGUUUGAAAGAUGCAAUUGCAUCACUCAAAGAUGAUCCCGCGUUGUAUUAGCUAGUUGGUGAGGUAAAGGCUCACCAAGGCGAUGAUACAUAGCCGACCUGAGAGGGUGAUCGGCCACAUUGGGACUGAGACACGGCCCAAACUCCUACGGGAGGCAGCAGUAGGGAAUCUUCGGCAAUGGACGAAAGUCUGACCGAGCAACGCCGCGUGAGUGAAGAAGGUUUUCGGAUCGUAAAACUCUGUUGGUAGAGAAGAACGUUGGUGAGAGUGGAAAGCUCAUCAAGUGACGGUAACUACCCAGAAAGGGACGGCUAACUACGUG